RNAcentral lists this long non-coding RNA (6158 nucleotides) under Solanum lycopersicum (tomato). Its description in RNAcentral is "long non-coding RNA (SLYC_LNC000719)". Lineage: Eukaryota; Viridiplantae; Streptophyta; Magnoliopsida; Solanales; Solanaceae. The record is from RNAcentral.
CUGUCCUUAUUGAAACCCUAACUGCUUUGGGUGCUGAAGUUAGAUGGUGUUCUUGCAACAUCUUCUCAACUCAGGACCAUGCUGCAGCAGCCAUUGCACGUGACAGUGCUGCUGUCUUUGCCUGGAAAGGUGAGACUUUGCAGGAGUACUGGUGGUGUACUGAGAGGGCACUUGACUGGGGUCCAGGUGGUGGUCCUGAUCUGAUUGUUGAUGAUGGAGGUGAUGCUACUCUGUUGAUUCAUGAGGGAGUUAAGGCUGAAGAGGAGUUUGCUAAGAAUGGAACAGUCCCAGAUCCCACUUCUACUGACAAUGUUGAGUUUCAACUUGUGCUUACUAUUAUUAAGGAGAGCUUAAAGACUGAUCCAUUAAGGUACACUAAGAUGAAGGAGAGACUUGUUGGUGUUUCUGAGGAAACUACCACUGGUGUUAAGAGGCUUUACCAAAUGCAGGCUAAUGGAUCUUUGCUUUUUCCUGCUAUCAAUGUUAAUGACUCUGUUACCAAGAGCAAGGUAUAUUAUAUGUGCUUUCUAACUUAUUGUUUUGAUUCUUAUGCUUCAGAUCUAUGUGAAUUGGUUGUGUGUAGUGUUCAUGUGCUAGUUAUACAUAUAGAUCUGUUAUGAAAUGAUUGAUAAUUGCUUGGAUCUGAUACAGAGGAACUAUACUGUUAACUUAAUGUUGAUUGAUUUGUACUUAUUGUACAAGUGCAAUGUAUAUUUGAGUUGAAUCUUAUUAAUGAAUCAUGAAUCUUCUACUGUUUUGGUAAUGUUUGAGGAAUAAAUGCUAUUGCCUUUUGAAAAGCUAAAAGUUUUCAUCUUUUCUAAUUGGAGUGCGUGGUUAUAUAGUCACUGAUUAGAAAAUUUUGUAAGAUAUUUAUGUGAUGAUGCAUAUUUCACUAGAUCCGUAUUGUUAAGCAUAGAAAAGAUGGUUUCUAAAAUGUCUGAUCUUGUUACAUGAAGAAAUGGUACUUAUUUAACCUCAUAAGUUCAUGACUUUAUUGUAUUGAUUGUUUGCUUAAAGUGGAAGAAUGGUGAAGUGUAUAGUUUUUCACUUGAUUAGUUGAAGAAUGACAACUUGAUUAGCUUAGAUAGGUUUACUUAUAGCUCCAUUUGGAAAAGCUAUUUACAGUAGAUGCAUAAAGUAGUAGAUCUUGAUUAUUAUAUUUAUACCAGGGUCAUGUUUGUUAUUAAGCUCAUUGAUUGACAAUUGUAUUGAUCUGUUUGGUUUGCAGUUUGACAACUUGUAUGGAUGCCGCCACUCACUUCCCGAUGGUCUCAUGAGGGCUACUGAUGUUAUGAUUGCUGGAAAGGUUGCUCUUGUUGCUGGUUAUGGAGAUGUCGGCAAGGGAUGUGCUGCUGCCAUGAAACAAGCUGGUGCCCGUGUGAUUGUGACUGAGAUUGACCCAAUCUGUGCUCUCCAGGCUACCAUGGAAGGCCUCCAGGUUCUUCCUCUUGAGGAUGUUGUUUCUGAGGUUGAUAUCUUUGUGACCACCACCGGUAACAAGGACAUCAUCAUGGUUGACCACAUGAGGAAGAUGAAGAACAAUGCCAUUGUCUGCAACAUUGGUCACUUUGACAACGAAAUCGACAUGCAUGGUCUUGAAACCUUCCCUGGUGUGAAGAGGAUCACAAUCAAGCCACAAACCGACAGAUGGGUCUUCCCAGACACCAACAGUGGCAUCAUUGUGUUGGCCGAGGGUCGUCUCAUGAACUUGGGAUGUGCCACUGGACACCCCAGUUUUGUGAUGUCUUGCUCUUUCACUAACCAAGUCAUUGCCCAACUCGAGUUGUGGAAUGAGAGGAGCAGUGGCAAAUACGAGAAGAAGGUGUACGUCUUGCCAAAGCACCUUGACGAGAAGGUUGCUGCCCUUCAUCUUGGAAAGCUCGGAGCCAAGCUUACCAAACUCACCAAGGAUCAAGCUGACUACAUUAGCGUACCUGUUGAGGGUCCUUACAAGCCUGCUCACUACAGGUACUGAGGGGAAGAGACGCUCACAGUGGAACAACGAUACGGCGGCAUGAUUGUUUUGUUUUUAAUACUUUUAUUUUGUUUAGGUAGUGUGUUUUUAUUUUUGUUGGGGGAUAUUUUGCUGGAAAGUUGACCUAAAUGUGUUUGAAUAAUAUUUGAAUUAUGGUUGGGGUGGUGUCAUAUGAUAUUGUACCAAGUUAGAUUCAUUUGCUUUCUUGUUUCUAUAAAAUUUGCUUCAAGGAAACAAAGCAUCAUGUUUUUCAUUUUCACUACAUCUUUGCUUUAUUUACUUGAUGUUAUUGCAAUUCUUCUCUUAUUUGGCUUCUGUUUAUGCAUCCAUAUGAGAGAGUUCACUUCUAAGAGGGAACAUAUGGUUGACUCCUAGUGAAGAUUUGCGUAGUCUUUGAAAUUUAUAUUUGUGACUUUCGAAAAGCAUAAUAGAGAUGAAAGGAGUAAAUUACUGUACUUUUUAAAUUAAACUUUAGGGAUGGGAACCACCUUGGGGAUUAUCACACCUCAGCACUCAAAAUAACUCCUUUUUGUGAAUAAAACUCCUUUCGUUUCACAAAGAAAUUUAAGAAUAUAAAGUAAUUUUUGAAUUUUAUGAUUCUAAAUUGGAAUUUGAUUAAAUACAAAAUUGUACUUUGAUUUACUGACCUUAAACACGUCACAAGAGGCCAUUCUUUUCGAAAUAAACUAAAAAAAAAAGUCAUUCUUUUUUAAACGGAGAGAAUAUCAAAAAAAAAGAUGUCCUUUCGUUUCACAAAGAAGUUUAAGAAUAUAAAGGAAUUUUUGAAUUUUGUAAUUCUAAAUUAGAGUUUGGUCAAAUACAAAAUUUUAUUUUGAUCUACUGACCUUAAACACGUCACAAGAGGCUAUUCUUUUCAAAAUAAACUAAAAAAAAAAUCAUUCUUUUUUAAAUGAAGGAGUAUAAAAAAAAGAUGAAAGAUUCUUAAUUUUUUUUUUCUAAUUGUACAAAUAAUUAACUACAUUGAGCAUAAAUCUCUCUUUACAUCAUUUAAAAUGAUGACACACUUGAAUUUUUUUUUUUUUUGGGAGAAUUUGAAAUUUCAGAUCAUAAAUUUGAGCCCCAUUUAGCCAAAACAAUAAUUUGUAUGUACACUUCUUCUAACUAUUUUGUGCAAUCUAAAAGGACCUCAAAUUUGAGAUAUUUGGGUGAAAAAGUUGAAUGCUUGUUGGAAAAGAAAUAGCUUUUUUAAAGGGAGAACAAAACAAAAUUUGCUUGUAAAAAAAUAAAGUAAUUAUAAACUUAUUUGCCUAAAAUUAAAUGAUCUUUCACCAACCACCACCACCAAAUUUUCUUUGUUUUUUUCAACUUCAUUUCACCUAAUGCUAUCCAAUUAGAUAAGAUAGUCUAAUUAACCAUGGUUUAAUAAAAGAAACAUCAUGCAUCUAUUAAUUAUGGUUUGAGUUCGAGUUCUAAUAUAUAUGUAAAAACUUGAUAGAAAAGAAAAUCCUUCUGUUUUGAAUGAAUAUUAUGUAAUGGAAAAUCGAAUUAAUUGAACUCUAAAUAUCAACAAAUAUAUAGGGAAAUUUUAUAAGUGAGGUUUGUGAGAAUAGAGUAUAUGCAAAUUUUAUUAUUAUCAUAUGGAGGUAGAUACACUAUUUUCAAAAGACCGUCGACUCUAAUACAACUAUUUAAAUAUAACGAGAAAAUUAUGAUACGCCACAAAAAAUAGUAUCAAGUCUACUAAAAAGGAGCAACAACAAUAAUAAAAGAUGCAUCAAUUGAAACGUAAUAAAUAAUAAAUAUACUAAGAUAGAUUAUUAAAAACGAUGAUGUAGUAAAGUUUGAAACUAAUUUUAUUCUUUGUAAGGAAAAAUUGUAGUACUUUCUCCGUUUCACAAAGAAUGAUCUAAUUUGACUUAACACGAAGUUUAAGAAAAUAAAGAAGACUUUUGAUCAUGUGAUCUCAAAUUAAAGUUAUGUCAAAUGUAUAAAAUUACACUUUAAUAUUGUGGCCUUAUAUAUGUUAUCUAGAAAAUUAUUACCAAAAAAAAGAAAAAUAUAAUUUUUUUGAAACACUGAAUCAGAAAAAAAAUAAAAUUGUAGUCACUAUUGUGAGUCACUUUAAUUAAAGACAACAUGGUCCUUUUGCCGCACCGCAAUUUGGAAAUUAAGAUGUGCACUUAUAGUAGCUAAUUCAAUUUUAUUGGGUUCAUGUGGGAGACGUUAAAAUAAUCGUAUUGUUGAAUAUUUUAUCUUUUUUACUUUUAAUUUAAUAGAGUGUUUUUAUAACAUGGUAAAAAAUAUCGCUUAAUAAAUCACACAUUUGAAAACAUGAACAAUAGCCUGACACAAGUAAACAUGCAAAGGUUUCGACAUGUAAAAGGGGAGUUCUUGUGAGCAUAGUUCAUAUUCAUUUAUCUCUAAAAUGUAUAAGGUGGAGGCUCAACGUAUAAUUUUUGAGACUCAUUUUAGCUGUGCUCAAACAUUAUUCAUUAUUUUCUCGAGGACAAUUUUUCUUAAUUAUACCUAUACUGAUUGCCACGAAUAUUAACAUUUUUUUUUCAAGGUAAUGUUUGAUUUCCUGAAAUAUGUUACAUUUGAGAGAAAAAAGAGAUUAAUCAUUGCAUUCAUCCAUAAAAUACAAUGUUAUAAUUUGGUUCAUGAACUAUCAUUGGUAUCUUGAUCACAAAUAUAUCUUUCCAUUAAUGUACAAAUUUUACACAAAAAAUACAAUAAAAACCUUCAGAGCUUUAUGGAUCAAUUGCUAAAUGUAAGACAAAUUCAAACAAAUCGUAUUUAGAAUGAAUAGGUUAAAAAUAUUUGAACUAUUAUACUUUCACGAGUUACAUGUAUCUAAUAGCCGUAUGUUCCUUUUAUAUCACCAAACAAUAAUUUCGUGUAUAUUAAAAAACCCACCAUCACAUAACUACAUGUGUGUCUAUUACACACCCAAUUUACCUAAAAACAAUGCCAACUAACGAGGGGGUUUUAUUAUAGAGAGAAUUAUUAUUCCAAGCGUUAAUAUAUUGAGAUCUCUUUCACUCUUAAUCAAAUAAAAUUCGAAAUCAAAAAAUGAAAAAUGCAAGGGAGUAUUAAUUACAAGAAAAUAUGCUACUACAUCAUCCUUUCUCAUUCGUGUCUGAUAUUCAUAUUGAAGUCUAACUAAUUCAGGUUCACAUCACAUAAAAUCUCGUUCAUAAAAAAAUAUUCAAAUAUAAAUGAGAUUUGAUUAAGCAAAAUGACUAAUCUUUUUCUACCCCAUCAUCGCUACCAACCAACCAACUCCUAGAAAUAAAUUUAAAAACAUCACCUUAAUGAAAAAAUAAACUAAGCACUUCCAAUUUUGAAAAGAAAAUACAUUCAUCCAAUCAAAAUUUUAGAUAUUUUUUAUUUAUCAAAUUUGUAGGUCUACCAAACCUCAAUUUAAUCCAAUCAACUAUUCAGAUCUGAAACAAAUCUUGACCGUCCAUUUCCAUCAGAGAAGCCUAUUUAUACCAAUCACUUCCUUCCCUUAUUUCUUGCAACACUCUUCUUCUUCCUUAAAACCCAAAGGAAGAAAAGAAAAUCGCCUCUUUCUGUCAAUUUCAUCUCAAAAUCUCCCAUUUUCUCUCAGUUUUUCUCUUAUACUCGCCUUACCCAUGGCUCUACUCGUUGAGAAGACCACCUCUGGCCGCGAGUACAAGGUGAAGGACAUGUCCCAGGCUGACUUCGGCAGGCUCGAAAUCGAGCUUGCCGAAGUUGAAAUGCCUGGUCUCAUGGCUUCCCGUGCUGAAUUUGGCCCUUCACAGCCCUUUAAAGGUGCAAAGAUCACUGGAUCUCUGCAUAUGACUAUCCAAACUGCUGUUCUUAUUGAAACCCUAACUGCUUUGGGUGCUGAAGUUAGAUGGUGUUCUUGCAACAUCUUCUCAACUCAGGACCAUGCUGCAGCAGCCAUUGCACGUGACAGUGCUGCUGUUUUUGCCUGGAAAGGUGAGACUUUGCAGGAGUACUGGUGGUGUACUGAGAGGGCACUUGAUUGGGGUCCAGGUGGUGGUCCUGAUCUGAUUGUUGAUGAUGGAGGUGAUGCUACUCUGUUGAUUCAUGAGGGUGUUAAGGCUGAAGAGGAGUUUGCUAAGAAUGGAACAAUCCCAGAUCCUAGUUCUACUGAUAAUGUUGAGUUUCAACUUGUGCUUACUAUUAUUAAGGAGAGUUUAAAGACUGAUCCUUUAAAAUACACUAAGAU